Long non-coding RNA from Homo sapiens (human), 899 nucleotides. Ensembl annotates it as MSH2 overlapping transcript 1. Its record names the gene MSH2-OT1. The record is from Ensembl. Lineage: Eukaryota; Metazoa; Chordata; Mammalia; Primates; Hominidae.
AGAAACUGCAGGUUAAAGGGUGAAAAGCAGUUGCGAAGUCCCCACAGCUUGGAAAUGGUGGAGCCGAGACUGAAACCCAGGUGUGCUAGCAUCUAAAGUUCAUGCUCUUUCCACCACAUUAGACUGUAUUCUGAGGGCACCAAGGAAGCUCCAUUUUUCUUAAGAAACCAAAUUGCAGUCCUCCAGGACCACAGCCAGGGGAGCAUCUUCGUGGGAGAGUGGCUGCUGCUCAGAGUUGUGACUCCCAUCCUUAAGAGUCCUCUGUCCUCUCUGGCCUCCUUUCUACUGAUCAUUGCUGUCCCCUUCACAGGGGAGAGGGGCCAUGGCCUAUCCCCUAAAGAGUCUGCCAAGGUAGACUCAUAACCUCCCCGUGGCACAGCUCAGACAAGCUGGGCUAUUUACAUAAGACUUGACCCAGGGCUUGAGGACAGCGCGAGGAAUGAGGUGCAGAGGAGACUGCUGCUUCUGGGUGACAGUCUGCCUGGCUGACCACAGCUGGGGUACUCAUUGGCCUCUUGAGGCCCCCCACAGGCCUGCCCUGCCUGACCUACUCUUGUGAGGCCAAGGCCAUCUCCUCCACUCUCUGGGGGCCUCUUCUGACUCCUCCAAACUCUUCCAUGUCUGGACUCCUGGCUUCUGCCCAAGGCCAUCUAUUGGAGUUUGGGUUUCCAGUUGAGGAUCUGCCUUUUUCCUGGAUGACCAAACCUAGAAUGUGACCGGCCUCAUGCUCCCUCCUCACAAGGGUGUGGCUUUAUCCGAGGGCCUCAGCAAGGCAACCAACACCAGACAUGAAGCUGACAGAUGGGAAGUCUUGACUCAUUACCCGCUGGAGACUUUUCCUGCUGGGCUCUGCACUGUCAACUGUGAGAGAGGGAAAUAAAACGUACUGUACAGUCCAA